GCUAGCUCCGGGCCAGGGGCCGGGGGAGUACGGGGGGUCGAAGCGUUUGCCGGAGGCAAUGGGCGUAAAUGGCGCGUAGGCGGCUCAGUAAGUGGCUGGUGAAAUCCCGGGGCUCAACGCCGGGGCUGCCGGUCAGACUGGGGGGCUCGAGCACGGUAGAGGCGGAUGGAAUUCCCGGUGUAGCGGUGGAAUGCGUAGAGAUCGGGAAGAAUACCGGUGGCGAAGGCGUUCCGCUGGGCCGUUGCUGACGCUGAGGCGCGACAGCGUGGGGAGCAAACAGGAUUAGAUACCCUGGUAGUC
RNAcentral lists this ribosomal RNA (300 nucleotides) under uncultured Desulfurococcus sp. Its description in RNAcentral is "bacterial SSU rRNA". It matches the Rfam family "Bacterial small subunit ribosomal RNA", at positions 496 to 795 of the family's 1533-position model. The record is from RNAcentral. Lineage: Archaea; Thermoproteati; Thermoproteota; Thermoprotei; Desulfurococcales; Desulfurococcaceae.